Equus caballus (horse) is the source of this 5426-nucleotide non-coding RNA. Lineage: Eukaryota; Metazoa; Chordata; Mammalia; Perissodactyla; Equidae. The record is from RefSeq and is a predicted model, not a curated record.
CGGGCGCCGACCCGCGCGUUCCUGACGGACUGGCUUAAGACCCGCUUGUGGGAGAGCCGACGCCGCAGUGACGUCUGGUGUGGCGACGCGAGCUUCGCGCGGCGACUCGCUUGGCCUGUCGCCUUGUUUUAACAGAACCUGGAGGCUGCUCCUCGUUUCAGCAGGCGCUCCACCACAGUGGCAUCUUUCGCUGUUAGUCCUCAAGAUCUACCUCUCUCCUUUCAAGGGCCCCGUAGUGUUUCAUCGCACAACGAGGUAUGGCGUUAUCACUGUUGGUUCUUAUGUGAGAAGGAAUCUGAUGCAGGGGCGUUCUAGAAUAUAGCAGUGAAGACAGCUGUGCCAUGUGGUGUGCUCACACUUUGAGAAGAUCAUUGGAAAGGAGGCCUGGGUGUUCCCAGUGGCCUAUCAGCUCUUCACGUGGUGGUCACCUCAGUCCCCUGCAUCCGUGUCUAUGUCUAUGUGUACGUAUAUUUUUACCUAUGUCUUUAUACGUAUGUCUGUUUGUGUAUGUAUAUCCAUGUCCAAAUAUGUUUAUCUUUACCUGUAUAUCUCUUUGUAUAUGUGUAUCUAUACAUGUAUGUGUAUGUAUUUAAUGCUUUCUAGCAUUAAAUCCCAUAUAAAAGCAAAACGGAAGACCCUGGCCCAGACUCUUCAAGAAGUGUCUUUUUGAGAGAGACCAUUCUCAACUCCACAAAUUUGUCUCCAACAAGUGGCAGUUUCUUCAGCUUGGUGGUAGGGCCUUGCAGCCUCAGCCCGGCCCCUCCUUGGACGUUUGGCGUCUUUAUGACCGGGACUUCUUCUAGUCACGGUUGCUGUGGUCUGGGAGGCCUUUCCUCUAGAAUCCUUUUCCUGAGUUCCUCCUUCAGACCAUUUUCUGAGGUGGGAGACAUUAAGAAAACAGUUAACUGAUUGUGCAGACUUUCACCAAAAAAAUACAUUCUUUACCUCAUUGAGGGCAAAAUGAGAAAACCUGGGCCUAGUACUGAAGGGGAAGGAGCUAGACUAGAUGAAACGUAGCUUUGGCAUUAAAAACACCUCCCAGAGGAUGACUGCUGCCUCUGUCAUCCCUGCCUUCAGGAGCUGCUUCCAAGGGGGACUAGUGACUCGUGAGCGAGUGCUGAGUAGUUACAGGUGCUACUGGAGCCACAGCAGCUUUUACCUCUAAGCAGAUUCAAGAACUUGAGAGAUGGGUGUCAAUGUUUGCCUGUAUAGCAGCUGCUUCUGGUUUUAAGAGUCUCUAGACCUUAUACACGUAGUGACUGAAUAUGGCAAUAUACUGUUUAAUCUUUCUUGGUCACAAAAAAGGAAAAUAACACAAUGGAAAAAUAUUAAAAUCCAAAAAAAUAAAAAUAAAAAUAAGUAGAAAGGAAAUAAUUUUGGCCCAGAGCUGCUAUUAUAGUCUCUACCCCUUGAGAGCUAAGCAUCUUUCUUAAUGGGUUGUCUAUUUGGGCUACUAUAACAAAAUACCACAGAGUAGCUUAUGAACAACAGAAAUUUGUUUCUCAGCGUUCUGGAGGCUGGAAAUCAAAGAUCAGGGCACCAGCAGAUUCGGUGUCUGGCAAGGGCCCACUUCCUCUUGGAAGGUGCCAUCUUGCUGUGUCUUCAUGUGGUGGAAGGGAUGAGGGAGCUCUCUGGGGUCUCUUUUAUAAUCUAAUCUCUUCAUUCGUGAGAGCUCCACCUCGUGACCUAAUUACCUCCCAAAGCCCCAGCUCCUAAAACCAUCAUCUUUGAGGUUAGGAUUCAACCUAUGAAUUUGAGGGGACACAAUAUUCAGAGCAUAGUAUGAAUCUUUCUCAUGCUAUAGCACUGGAACUGUUAAGGUUAUAUUGGUUCUCAACCACAAGUUUCUCCUUAUGGGAAAUUUAAGUAUAUCCCAAGUCUGUCUAUUUCAGUACCUUUUCAGCAACAAAAGAAUUUACAGUAGUCCCCCUUAUCCACUGUUUCAGUUACCCAUGGUCAACCUCCAUCCAAAAAGAAUGGAAAAUUCCAGAAAUAAACAAUUCAUAUGUUUUAAAUUGUGUACGAGUCUGAGUACUGUGAUGAAAUCUCAUGCCAUCCUGCUCCUUCCUGACUGGGAUGUAGAUCGUCCCUUUGUCCAGCAGAUCCACGUUGUAGAUGCUACCUGUCCGUUAGUCACUUAGUAGCCACCUUGGUUAUCAGACAGACUGUCGUGGUAUCGCAGUGCUUGUGUUCAAGUAAUCCUUAUUUUACUUCGUAAUGGCCCCAAAGCACAACAGUAGUGAUGCAAUUUAUUACAGUAUAUUGCUAUAAUUAUUCUAUUUUAUCGUUAGUUUUUGUUGUUAAUCUCUUACUGUGCCACAUUUAUGUUAAACUUUAUCAUAGGUAUGUAUGAUAGGAAAAAACAGUGUAUAUCCACAGUUUUAGGCAUCCAUUGGGGGUCUUGGAACAUGUCCCCUACAGAUAAGGGGGGGCUUCUAUAAUAGCUAGCAUUUAAUCACCAGGUGGUUUACCUAAAUAAUUCCAUUCUUCCCUAUCAAAAGAACCCCGUUUCAUUUGGAAUGGCAAUGCGUCCACUAAAAUAAAAAGACUUUCUUUCCCACUCUCUUGCAGCUAGGAGCGGCCAGGUAACAUGUGGUAGCCCGUGAAAUGCAAGCAGAGAUCUGGUGGGCGAGGCUUCUAGGAAAGCUACUGCUGUCCUCAGAAAAAAGGUCAGAUUUGGCCUAUUGUGAGCAUUUUGCCUUUGCUUUUCCUGCUUUUUGCGUGGAAUGUCAACACAGAAUCCUGAGGUUCAGCAGCUACUUUGUGAGCUUAAGGGAAAAAGACAGAAGCAAAGGUUCUCACAAAAAAACAGGGAGCAUGCAUCACAGAUGACAAUGCAGAGACGCUCUACCAGCCCUGAGCUGCCUGGCACACAAACAUUCCGCUCUUGCUUAAACCACUGUUUUGGCUUCUCAUUACAUGCAGUGAGAGCAUAAUCAUGACUGAUUCAACCAUAGUUCUUCCUCUGGAGGACAAUCAGAAGAGAGACCUGGGUCUGGCAUUCAGUGCUACAGCCAGCUUUACCAGAAUUGUUAAAAGCGAUAGUAGACGAAGGACAGAGUGGUCAGAGCAUUGACGAACUAACCACAAGUUAGUUGGCUAUUUACUCCAGCCAUCAGCCAGCAAAGGUCAGCAAAGUCAGGCAUACAACACGCCUCCUGAAAAAUCUUUGGCCUGAACCCUAAACAAUUGCUGAGGUUCCAGAAUUUUAAUAAUAUGCAUGCAAACUUGAACUUAGCACAUUUUGUUACUUAUAGCAAACAUUGUAUUCUGCAUGGACGUUAACUACAACAAUUCCCAGUUAGCUGUUGGGCUGCCAACACAUGCGGACACGCGGGCUCAUUCCAAGGUCCACAGGUGGCAUCCUUCCUGAGAGCUCGCAAGAUGGAGAAGUCUAUGUGGCCUUUCCCCGAGUGACGACACAGCCAAGAGCUGUUGGAUUCCAGCCUCCUCCUUAGCGUUCUAGUUUUCUAGCUCUCCGUCUACAUUCCUGAUGAACUUUAGCAGUACAUUGUCAAGGCAAAGAGGGAUAAUCUGAAGUGGAAAAGGAAGAGGAAGAAGAAGAGGAAGAAGAAGAGAUAAUUUCCUGUUUCCUUUGGAGAGUCAUAAAAUUAAAGGUUAUUUUACUGCAAUUUUUCUUCUCCUAAAUAUUUGGAUAACACACUGGGGUGACUAAAUGGAUAGUUUGAAUCUGCUGUGAAGACGGCCAAUCUGUAAAGAAAAGCUAAGAGAACGGGGAGUCCAAAUGCACUUGGAGUACCUGGAAAUUACACCUGGCAGCCAGCAACCUCUGUGCUUCUUUGUUGUACCGUAUUUUCUGCCGGCGGCUUUCAGGGGUGCCUUUAUUUCACUGAUUACUAAAUUAGUGUUGGAUUUAAUGAGAGAGAUCUGUCCUUUUAUUUGUGCCUUUUUUCCUUCUUCUUACUUAAAAAAAAAAACAGGAUCAGCCUCACAAAGGCUUUGCACAUUUCUAGCUUGCUUUUGAAGAUGUGACCAUUUGCUCCCAUCUAUCUCCAUGGUAAUAAGCUCCCUCCACCCCCAAUUUUCCAAGCCUCAGAUACUUAGGAAGCUUCAGGACUGGAGUAGGGUUGCAUGCUAAAAUAAUGCAGAGAAACAAAUUGUUCUCUGUAAAUAGGCCUCAUCUUCAAAGCAUUCGAAUAUUCUCCAAAAUGUGAUCCAUUUCUCUUUGCUUGAAAACAGGCGUAUUUUAGAUAAAAUAUUCGAAAGUAAAGUUUCGCAUCUCAGGAAAUGCAUCUCAGUAAGAGCCUGUAUUCUAAAACAAGACUUGGACAGGAUUUUAAAACUGGAAGUGGCCUCAGACUUCAUCUAGUCCAAGACUUUUAUUGUACACUUGAGGAAACUGAGGCUUUAGUACAGCUCAUUGUUUUGGGUCUAAUCAUGACUGGGGCUGGGACUUCGGUCUCACAGCAAGGUAUUCUUUCCUCUAUACCAAUAUUUCAAUAAUAAGAAUAAUAAUUAUUAAUUAUAUUACUAAAAAUAGCUAUUAUUAGUAGCGAUGAAAGAGUUAAUGCACAGAAGAUGUGCUAUAAAAUGCAAAUAACUGUCAGGAUGUCUAUGCCAGGCAACUUUUCACUGUAACUUGAAGUCCUUUAGAAGUUGAUAUUUAGGUUUUCAAAUCAUGAACUCGCAAACCAUAUGCUCACAUAAAUUAAUAUACUAAAAGACAAUUUAUUCAUAUACGCAUAUAUGUAUACAUACAUAUAAAUGUAUUUGUGGUAUAUAAAUAAAAUAACAGUGGCAAUCUCUGAAUAAUGGUUAUAGUUAAUUUAAAUUUUCUUUUUUAUAAUUUUCUACAUUUUUAUUUUCUAUAUUAAACCUAUAUUACUUUUCUUAUAAGAAAAAAAGACUUUUUAUUUCCAGAAAAAAAUAUUUGGACAUUUGAUGUUUAAGAUGUAAAUCAUUCACACUUGGCCCAAUUCCACUGUUCUUUCCCCACAAAAUGCAAAAUAAUUUACGGUUCAUAGUAGCUGUAGAUAUUCUGCUCUGCUUCACCUACUAAGACUUAGUGCUGGGCCUGGGAGGGCUGCACGUUCUCAUCAUUCAGAAAAUAUCGGGAUUCUCACCACCAGGAAGAACUAACUGCGGAACCCAAGGUCCUUAUAAAGAACAUCCCCUUCACAGCUUCUUUUUUGACCCACAUUUUGCUUAUUGAUUUAAGAGCUUCUUUUAAGAUAAAGAUAAUAUUAAUUGGUACUUCUGCGAGCUUUUCUCCUGAACACCUCAAUGUAUUUCACAUGCCUUAACUCAGUUAUGGUCUCAUUAAGGUAUGUGUUUGGCUUUAAAGACUCGCCACUGUUCCACAAACAAAACCCAAAAGAUCAAUUCCAUCUAGGAGGGCCGGCCGGUGGCCGAGUGGUUAAGUUCUCGCGCUCGCUUCAGUAACCCAGGGUUUUGCUGGUUUGGAU